UACUAUCCUAUUAAUAGGAUAGUAGCACUUGUCCUAUCAAAUGGUUCUUGAUGAUAGAGAUUCCGAAUCGAUGAUCGGAGCCGUUGAAGUUGAUCUAGAGUAUUUGAAAUAUCUAGAAACUAAAUUUCAUAAAUUUUAAAAAUUAUUUACAUGAUGAUCAAAGUGUCGUAAAAUCGAUAAUUUUUGACGGCCUAUAUGAGCCGUUUGCUUGUUUAACGGUGUAGAACAAUCCAAAUUGCUUAAAUUUUUGAUAGAAAAUUUUUAUACUAUUUAGAUAAUGUUUGAUAACUCUGAUUAUGAAUUGAGAAAGUCUAACCUCUAUUUUAAAAAGAUUAUUCAUUUAUGACCGUUCAUUUUUUAACUCUUAAGAUGAACUUGAUAAUGAUUUUUAAAUAUUACAAAAUUUGGUUUCUAAACAUUUCUAAUUGUAUAGAUCAAUUUCAACGGUGCCGAUUAUCAAUUUAAAGUUCCGAUCAUUCAAAACAACUUGAUAGGACAAGUGCUCCUAUCCUAUUAAUAGGAUAGUAGCCGGACUCAUAUAUAUAUAUAUAUAGAGUCCAGCUGCUAUGCUAUCGGUAGCACGGGGCCUCCCGUGCUACCAAGUUGUUUUUGAUGAUGCGGCUUCCAAAUCGACGAUCAGCUCCGUUAGACUUGAUCUACAUUAGUAAAAGUAUUUGGAAACCAAAUUUCAUAAUUUUUCGAUAUCAUUUACCUAUCAAACAAGUAGUCUAAAAUUGAACGGUUGAAAAUAAAAAUCUCAUAAAAAAUGAUGAUAAAAGAUUUAAAUUCUAGAUCAGAUAAACUGAUCUUACUCUAAAUAGUGAAAAGAAUUUUCUAUAAAAUUUUCAUCGGAUUUGGAUUGUUUUAUACCGUUAAACUCACAAACACGCCACAUCGGCCAUUAAAAUGGUCAAUUUUGAGAUCUUUUGAUCACUAGUCAAAUGAUGUCGAAAAAUUAUAAAAUUUAGUUUUCAAAUACUUUUAAUAGUGUAGAUCAAGUCUAACGGAGCCGAUCGUCGAUUUGGAAGCCGCAUCAUCGAAAACAG
Molecule: long non-coding RNA, 1046 nt
Filed under: Ananas comosus (pineapple)
Lineage: Eukaryota; Viridiplantae; Streptophyta; Magnoliopsida; Poales; Bromeliaceae
Description: long non-coding RNA (ACOM_LNC036317)
Source: RNAcentral